RNAcentral lists this non-coding RNA (29 nucleotides) under Rattus norvegicus (Norway rat). Lineage: Eukaryota; Metazoa; Chordata; Mammalia; Rodentia; Muridae. The record is from RNAcentral.
GGGUUAGUAGAUCCUAGUGGUGAAGAGUA